AGAAGCAGAGGCACAGCUUUGGGCCGGCGUUCCAGACCCGGGACUGGCGCAUCCACCUCCGGGAAUCCACAUCCAGUCCGGACGGCCCCUGAGGCUAAAAUACUUGAGUGCGGAAACUGUCUCAGAUCCUCUCAUUUCUCGAGUGAAAACAAACGUCUGAAGCAGCUACGGGAACUCACUGCGUCCCUAAGCGCCCCCCACCCCCAACCCACCCCAGUUCCCAGUUUUCCCACAACUCCAGAAGCAACCCGGUGCCUUUUCCGGCGCAGGACACACGCACACGAGCGGCUGACUCGCGCGCAGUGCUCCGGGCUCGGUUGCGGGAGCAGGACCGACACCAGCCCAGCAAGCUCCGGACAGGCCACUCGGACUCUCCGCCCCGCGGACCCCAGCGUCCCCAUUGCCGCGGCCGCCAACAGUCCCCUCGACGGUAGCCCCGGCCGGACUGCAAGAAGUCGACGUUCUGCGAGGGGGCGGCGGGGCGCAGGACGCUGGCAGCAGCAGCCCGGAGCCCCCGAGCCCUCGGCAGGUUUGCCCGUCCUUCCCCGCGAUCUGAUUGGAUAA
This 564-nucleotide long non-coding RNA is filed under the name Bos indicus x Bos taurus (hybrid cattle). RNAcentral's name for it is "lncRNA (ENSBIXG00000002348.1)". The record is from RNAcentral. Lineage: Eukaryota; Metazoa; Chordata; Mammalia; Artiodactyla; Bovidae.